This 1311-nucleotide long non-coding RNA is filed under the name Canis lupus familiaris (dog). Its description in RNAcentral is "lncRNA (ENSCAFG00000054592.1)". The record is from RNAcentral. Lineage: Eukaryota; Metazoa; Chordata; Mammalia; Carnivora; Canidae.
CUUUUCUUUUUCUUCUCCUCCCUGUUUUUCUUCUUUUUGGUGAUAAGGCGGGCCUAUCCUGUUUGUCUUGCCUUAUUUAGAAGGGAUUCAUGGCACGUGGAGUCUUCACUUGACAUGUACACACUGAGAACAUUCCAGGUACAAGGAAAUAUCAAUAGCAAAUUUUAUGCUUCCGGGUUGAAAACAUGCUUGUAUAUCCAUCUCCCAUUCAGUCAUCAUAGAAUCACUGUAAAUUAAGUGGUAGAAGGAUUACCAUUCUUUUAUAUAUUUGGAUCAUGUUGCUCAGGAAGAUUAAAUGGCUUACUGUUCACAGCUGGUAAAGGCAGUGCUUGAACACAAACCCAAGGGCUCUGACAACACAUCCUAUGAUUAUUCGACUUUGUCAUGUCACCUCAUCUUAAGGAUAUGACAUAAUUUCGUCUAUCAAUCUACUUGUCAUCUUUGAAAGGGCUGAGAGCAGGAUACUUAGGGAAUAAUUUUAGCAAUCAACUGUACUCUAUUGUGACAUCAGAGAAGUAACCUCUAAUGGCCAUCUACCAGCCGACCAGUGGAGUAGCUGGGUGCAGGCACAGUUUGGGGGUACCCCUUAAAAUGAGUUAUAAAGUUCUAAAAUUCUUUGAAGAAAUUAGAAGUUGGGGUCAAGGAGCAGAAAUGAACUUCUCACUCCCUGAUUGCAUGUUCCUGAGCUCAGAAAUCUAGGGUGUUGCCACCUGGCUGGAGACUAUUGACAUUUUAGGAGAGCUUGACCUGUUGCCUCCUAGAGUUUUGGCAGCCCGGAAACUGCAACUUGACACUCACACCGAAAGUUUUGAAGCUGGGAGGAUGCCUGAAGCACCCCUACACUAAAGAGGUAAAGAGAAGAGAAACCAUCAUAGAAGCAAACUACAAUUUGACAUUCUACAAUUUGACAAACAAGGGGGUUUACGUUUCUUUGAGUCAAGUGAAUACCUGCAAGAUAGCUAGGCUGAAGUAUUAUGGAAGGUACUGCCCCUCCCUCAUCAAUAAAUUUAAACAAAGGAUACUUGCCUCAGUGAGGACCUAGUGUGGUAAACUGCCAGAGGCACUAGCUAAGAGUGAAAUUGAAAGGUUAGCUCGGCAUUGCCAUAUUUUUGCCAGAGAACAUGUAAUAGUGGAGGUCAUCACAGGGUGGAGAGAGAGAGAAGUGGUUCCUAAAGAACCCAAUAGCAUGCUUCAUAAAAGCCCUAGUGUUUGGAUGUCUGCCAUGACGGAGGGCAAUAACCAGCCAGUGUGAGCCAUGAAAGAAUAGCCAGUAAAGCCACCUGUGAAACAGACCUUUCAUCUCCUUGAAGC